UUCUAUAGUAGUAUGCUCAUGUUCACUAUUGUUGUGCCGUAUCCAGGUAGCAUUAUCUUUGGCAGCUUGCAUAUACUUCCUCAACGACAAGACAAAGAGCCUAGCUAGAGCUGCCAUCAUCGGAUUCGGUGCCCUUGUAGUUGGCUGGAUUUCUGGUUCCAUUUUGGUUCCCACAAUUCCGUCAUUUCUGCUACAACCAACUUGGACACUUGAACUGCUAACAUCACUGGUAGCUUACGUUUUUCUGUUUCUUGCUUGCACUUUCCUCAAGUAACGUAAGAGCCGAACCUCCUGUUGUAUUAUGAGUUAUAGUUUCAGUUUACAACAAUGUGUUUGUUCUUGCAUUGGAUUAAAUGAUUGAUUAAAAAAAAAAAUCUCUACCCAAAUCUAUAUUGCUGCCUGCUUGAACUUUGAAGAUCUCAUAUUUGAUGUUUAUAGGCGUUUUCAUGUGCUGGUAUGCCAUGUUUAUGAUGCUUUGUAACACUGAUUCAGUAGUAUUAACAAUGAUUAAUGUAACACUGGAUUCAGUAA
This is a long non-coding RNA of Ipomoea triloba (trilobed morning glory), 531 nucleotides long. RefSeq lists it as uncharacterized. The record is from RefSeq and is a predicted model, not a curated record. NCBI's taxonomy places the organism in Eukaryota, Viridiplantae, Streptophyta, Magnoliopsida, Solanales, Convolvulaceae. The transcript is spliced from 2 exons.